This 498-nucleotide ribosomal RNA is filed under the name uncultured bacterium. RNAcentral's name for it is "partial 16S ribosomal RNA". It matches the Rfam family "Bacterial small subunit ribosomal RNA", at positions 28 to 523 of the family's 1533-position model. The record is from RNAcentral.
GAUGAACGCUGGCGGCGUGCCUAAUACAUGCAAGUCGAACGCAAUACUUCGGUAUUGAGUGGCGAACGGGUGAGUAAUACAUAAGCAACCUGGCCAUGACAAGGGGAUAACUGACGGAAACGACAGCUAAAACCGCAUAGGUAUAAACGAAGCAUUUUGUUUAUAUUAAAAAUGCUAAGGCAUUGGUGAUGGAUGGGCUUAUGGAGCAUUAGCUAGUUGGUGAGGUAGAGGCUCACCAAGGCGACGAUGCAUAGCCGGCCUGAGAGGGUGAACGGCACCACUGGGACUGAGACACGGCCCAGACUCCUACGGGAGGCAGCAGUAGGGAAUUUUCGGCAAUGGGGGGAACCCUGACCGAGCAACGCCGCGUGAAGGAAGAAGGAAUUCGUUUCGUAAACUUCUGUUAUAAAGGAAGAAAGGGAUGUAUAGGGAAUGAUACAUCUAAGACGGUACUUUAUGAGGAAGCCACGGCUAACUACGUGCCAGCCGCCGCGGUAA